RNAcentral lists this transfer RNA (74 nucleotides) under bacterium. RNAcentral's name for it is "tRNA-Gly". It matches the Rfam family "tRNA". From Rfam's summary of the family: Transfer RNA (tRNA) molecules are approximately 80 nucleotides in length. Their secondary structure includes four short double-helical elements and three loops (D, anti-codon, and T loops). RNAcentral also lists the same sequence under 1 other name. The record is from RNAcentral.
GCGGGAUUAGUUGAGCGGUUCAACGUCACCCUUCCAAGGUGAAAAGACGGGUUCGACUCCCGUAUCCCGCUCAA